CUGGGGGCUCCUCCAGACGUCGGGGGGGUCCGGGCGCGGGUCAGGCGGAAGUGUGGCCAGAGUUCCGCCUGGGGCGGACCGGCCGCCGCCGACUGUGGGCGGGAGGCGUCACCGGGUUGCAGGGAUGAAUGGGGCGGGGAUCGGGCCGGCUAGCGGCGGCGCGCCCCCGGCUGAGCGGGGCUGCCGCUGGAAGCCCCAGCUGCCCGCUCGCUCCCGGCCCGCGGGCGUGGUGGCCGAGCAGCCGGUCCUCGGCUGGAACCUGCAGGGCUCCCGGGAACUGGUCCCGAGGCGUGGCGGAUAGGCUCCUUUCCGGCACACACCUGCGGGCAGAGCGUCCCCCGUGGGAACCGAGACUUCCCCUGGAGCGCAGGGGCCGCCCUGAGCCUGGUGCCCGACCCCAAGACCGUGGUGACCUGACCUUCACUGCCCACCUGCUCGGACCCACGACCUGUGUCCCACACUUUCUUUAUAUGAACCUGGACGUGCUUUGAGCACUUUGGAGACGGUCUUUGAGACCCUAGUCUGCGGUCUCCGGGUGGUGGUCUCACCGAAAUAAAAUUCCUUUCCUGUUUCCCCAC
Long non-coding RNA from Felis catus (domestic cat), 578 nucleotides. RefSeq lists it as uncharacterized. The transcript is spliced from 2 exons. Lineage: Eukaryota; Metazoa; Chordata; Mammalia; Carnivora; Felidae. The record is from RefSeq and is a predicted model, not a curated record.